GACGAACGCUGGCGGCGUGCUUAACACAUGCAAGUCGAACGGAAAGGCCCUGCUUUUGUGGGGUGCUCGAGUGGCGAACGGGUGAGUAACACGUGAGUAACCUGCCCUUGACUUUGGGAUAACUUCAGGAAACUGGGGCUAAUACCGGAUAGGAGCUCCUGCUGCAUGGUGGGGGUUGGAAAGUUUCGGCGGUUGGGGAUGGACUCGCGGCUUAUCAGCUUGUUGGUGGGGUAGUGGCUUACCAAGGCUUUGACGGGUAGCCGGCCUGAGAGGGUGACCGGCCACAAUGGGACUGAGAUACGGCCCAGACUCCUACGGGAGGCAGCAGUCGGGAAUAUUGCACAAUGGGCGGAAGCCUGAUGCAGCAACGUCGCGUGCGGGAUGACGGCCUUCGGGUUGUAAACCGCUUUCGCCUGUGACGAAGCGUGAGUGACGGUAAUGGGUAAAGAAGCACCGGCUAACUACGUG
RNAcentral lists this ribosomal RNA (468 nucleotides) under uncultured bacterium. Its description in RNAcentral is "partial 16S ribosomal RNA". It matches the Rfam family "Bacterial small subunit ribosomal RNA", at positions 28 to 507 of the family's 1533-position model. The record is from RNAcentral.